CGCACGGGUGAGUAACACGUGGAUAAUCUACCUCUAGAUGGGGAAUAACUCUGGGAAACCGGAGCUAAUACCGCAUAAUGCCGAGAGGCCAAAGGAGCAAUUCGUCUGGAGAGGAGUCCGCGGCCGAUUAGCUAGUUGGCAGGGUAAAGGCCUACCAAGGCGAUGAUCGGUAGCCGGCCUGAGAGGGCACACGGCCACACUGGCACUGAAACACGGGCCAG
This 221-nucleotide ribosomal RNA is filed under the name uncultured bacterium. RNAcentral describes it as "partial 16S ribosomal RNA". It matches the Rfam family "Bacterial small subunit ribosomal RNA", at positions 99 to 334 of the family's 1533-position model. The record is from RNAcentral.